Xiphophorus hellerii (green swordtail) is the source of this 426-nucleotide long non-coding RNA. RefSeq lists it as uncharacterized. The transcript is spliced from 2 exons. NCBI's taxonomy places the organism in Eukaryota, Metazoa, Chordata, Actinopteri, Cyprinodontiformes, Poeciliidae. The record is from RefSeq and is a predicted model, not a curated record.
CAAGUAACUUGUUUGAGAAACAGAACUACUGGAGCUGUUGAAAGUUGGGCUUGUAGACAAACCAUUUUUGUCUAUAUUCCCUGAUGAAUUGAUGCUGUUUGUACUUUCUGAAGCCUAAUAACCUGUUUGAAGACCAGAACUGCUAGAGCUACUGAAAGUCGGGCUUGUAGACAAACCAUUGUGGUCUGAAGUCUCUGAUGAAGUGAUGUUUUCUGACAUUUUUGAAGCCUGGUUCAUAAAAGAGUAUGUUUAAAAUUGAUUUGUGAAGUAUUAAUUGUCUUUCAAAAUAAGAGUUACAUAGAUUCUUAUACCUCAUUACUUGUUUGAGAAUCGGAACUGCUGGAGGUGUUGAAUUUUGGGGUUGUAAACAAAGUUUCUUGGUCUGUUGCACCUGAUGAAGUGCUUUCAUUUGUAGGUUGUGACGUC